Molecule: ribosomal RNA, 329 nt
Filed under: uncultured bacterium
Lineage: Bacteria
Description: bacterial SSU rRNA
Rfam family: Bacterial small subunit ribosomal RNA
Source: RNAcentral
CGCGUAGGCGGACCUCCCAGUCCGGGGUGAAAGCUUUCGGCUUAACCGGAAAAGUGCCUUGGAUACUGGAGGUCUUGAGGGAGGUAGGGGGCAGCUGGAACUUCCGGUGGAGCGGUGAAAUGCGUUGAUAUCGGAAGGAACGCCGGUGGCGAAAGCGAGCUGCUGGAUCUCUACUGACGCUGAGGCGCGAAAGCCAGGGGAGCGAACGGGAUUAGAUACCCCGGUAGUCCUGGCCCUAAACGAUGGGUACUGGAUGUAGCCCUUCACCGGGCUGUGUCGAAGCUAACGCAUUAAGUGCUCCGCCUGGGGAGUACGGUCGCAAGGCUGAA